UCCGAGUUGACCCCGGCAGUCUCUGAUGAGUCCCCAUCACCCCGAAGGGCAUGCUGGCAACAUCAAACAAGGGUUGCGCUCGUUGCGGGACUUAACCCAACAUCUCACGACACGAGCUGACGACAACCAUGCACCACCUGUACACCGACCAAAAGGGGCACCCAUCUCUGGAUGUUUCCGGUGUAUGUCAAGCCCAGGUAAGGUUCUUCGCGUCGCAUCGAAUUAAGCCGCAUGCUCCGCCGCUUGUGCGGGCCCCCGUCAAUUCCUUUGAGUUUUAGCCUUGCGGCCGUACUCCCCAGGCGGGGUGCUUAAUGCGUUAGCUUCGGCACGGACGGGGUCGAUAUCCGCCCACACCUAGCACCCAACGUUUACGGCUAGGACUAC
Molecule: unclassified non-coding RNA, 384 nt
Filed under: uncultured Actinomycetes bacterium
Lineage: Bacteria; Bacillati; Actinomycetota; Actinomycetes
Description: uncultured actinobacterium contains 16S-23S intergenic spacer region
Source: RNAcentral